Long non-coding RNA from Balaenoptera musculus (blue whale), 1239 nucleotides. RefSeq lists it as uncharacterized. The transcript has 4 exons. The record is from RefSeq and is a predicted model, not a curated record. NCBI's taxonomy places the organism in Eukaryota, Metazoa, Chordata, Mammalia, Artiodactyla, Balaenopteridae.
CCGGGCCGCCCCGCUCCCGCCGGUCCUCGUCUGCCCACCCUCCCCAGCCUCCACCCCGUGCCCUCACCGUUGCGGCAGACGGCGGGCUGCGGGCAGAGCGGGCUGUUGCAGGGCACGCUGGGCCGCAGGCAAGGAGACCAAAGUACAGGAGGAUUGAAUAAUUGCCCCAGGCCACACACUCAAGCAAGACUUGGAACCCAAGGAGUUUGGUUACAGAGUCCAGGCAGUAAUGACCCAGCCAUGCCACCUUUCUGCGGUAAACGGCCAGUUGCGUUUGCUCCAGCUGCCUACGACAAGCAAUCCUUCAUGACCGCACGAAUGCCUUCCAUCACUGUGCCCAUGUCACUUCUCUCUCUAGCCUGUCCUUUCCAUUCUCUUCACUGUUUAUCAAACUCUACUCAUGGAUUUAGGCUCGGCUUAGGCUCACCACUUCCCCCAAACCUUCCCAGAUAACCUCCCCAGGCAAGAUGCAUAUGUUUGUCCUCUGGGCUCCUGUGUACCUGGGUUGCAGAAUAUCUCUAUCUCAUGUGUUACAGAAGGUGUCGUUCUAGGUGCUGGAUAUAUGGUGGCAAACAAAACAAAGUCCCUUUCCUGGCUGACCUUGUGUUCUACUGGACACAGGGGCCACAGGCCUUUCAGCAUUGCUGGAGGACCCAGUGCAGAGCACGGAGUGAUGGUGGAGGAAGCUGAAGAGGAGGAGGACAGUUUGUUUUACGUGGAAGAGUUGAGUUGAUACCCUACCUACUUCCACAAAGGACCUGAGGCACAUAAAAAGGUAAGGAUUUGCCAAAUCAAACUACCACUGGGCAGGAGUCCCCGACCCCGUCCUGAGGAGGAGAUUCUUCUGCUUCCCCCAGAGGCUCUUGGUUGCUGCAGGGAGACUGCCAACACUGCUGGAGAAAAGAGGCUGCUCCUGGACCCUGUGUACUCCUAGAAAUCCCCUUGGGUUGAUUCAGUAAUUGGAUUUUGACUCAAGGCUGUGAGUGGAGAGCCUGGUACAUAGUGAGAACCUCAUAAAUGUUUGUUGAAUGAAAACAUGAGGGUGAUGACUUUAUCUGUAAAAUAAAGGAGUGGCUAAUCCCUCUGAGCUUUGACUUCAGCCUAAGAAUGAGUGGCAUUAUGAACUUCCUGGAAAGUAAGAUGGUUCCUAUACCAACACCCUGCUCAAUUUAAGUCAAAGGACAAAAUGUCACAAGUAAAACCAUGUGCCUGGGCUUCCCUGGUGGCGCAGUGGUUAAG